Molecule: long non-coding RNA, 642 nt
Organism: Vidua chalybeata
Lineage: Eukaryota; Metazoa; Chordata; Aves; Passeriformes; Viduidae
Exons: 5
Source: RefSeq, a predicted model, not a curated record
GAGAAUAAUCCUUUAUCAGCCAGACUGAAUGACCUCUGAAAGGUCUUUUUCAUCUCUUCAUCCUGCUCUUUUGUCCCAGGAAAUGCGGCUCCAGCCCAAACUCCUUGAUCAGUCGAGCAGUUCAUGCAGCGCUCCCCUCCCCAAAGGAGGAAAGGUGACAUUACAGCUCCCAGACUGGCAGAAUUAACACCAUCUACAUUUCAUCCCGUGAACCUUCCUCAGUGUGCUUCAUCUCCUGACAAAGAGACUCAGUAGUCAAAAUCCUGUUCCCUGACGGAACUCGAAAAGGAGGAAUGAAGUGACCUGUUGAAGACUGUGGUAACUGCUGGGCUGGUGAAUGGAGAUGAAUUUUGUCAACUCGUACUCUGCGCCUUCGAGUGUUUGAGCUCUUGGGCCCUGUGACUGUGCUGAAAGUUCAAAAGGAAAUAAACUGAGAGGUCUAAAGAAUUCUUUUACCUAAGGAGACUGAUCCAGGUGAAGACUGGACGGAAAUUCUACACAGAGACCGUGAAAUCCUUCUCUGACUGCUCAGAUCCCAGGAGGAAAUGCCAGUUACAUACCUAGCAGUGGAGCAGCACUACUGCAGUGUUCUUUUGGCACCCUGGAGACACGCCAGAGCUGUGAAAACACCUCCUGAUGGCA